UUUUUUUUUCUUUCUCCCCCGCUUGAAACUAGCAUAUCAAUAAGCGGAGGAAAAGAAACUAACAAGGAUUCCCCUAGUAACUGCGAGUGAAGCGGGAAAAGCUCAAAUUUAAAAUCUGGCGGUCUCUGGCCGUCCGAGUUGUAGUCUGGAGAAGUGCUUUCCGCGCUGGACCGUGUAUAAGUCUCUUGGAACAGAGCGUCAUAGAGGGUGAGAAUCCCGUCUUUGACACGGACCACCAGUGCUUUGCGAUGCGCUCUCAAAGAGUCGAGUUGUUUGGGAAUGCAGCUCAAAAUGGGUGGUGAAUUCCAUCUAAAGCUAAAUAUUGGCGAGAGACCGAUAGCGAACAAGUACCGUGAGGGAAAGAUGAAAAGCACUUUGGAAAGAGAGUUAAACAGUACGUGAAAUUGCUGAAAGGGAAACGCUUGAAGUCAGUCGCGUUGUCCAGAACUCAGCCUUGCUCUCGCUUGGUGCAUUUUCUGGAUGACGGGCCAGCAUCGAUUUUGAUCGUCGGAAAAGGGUUGGGGUAAUGUGGCACCUCCGGGUGUGUUAUAGACUCCAGUCGCAUACGACGGUCGGGAUCGAGGUUCGCAGCGCGCCGCAAGGCAGGGGUUCGCCCACUUUCGCGCUUAGGAUGCUGGCAUAAUGGCUUUAAACGACCCGUCUUGAAACACGGACCAAGGAGUCUAACAUACCUGCGAGUGUUUGGGUGGAAAACCCGAGCGCGUAAUGAAAGUGAAAGUUGGGACCUCUGUCGUGGAGGGCACCGACGCCCGGACCUGACGUUCUCUGACGGAUCCGCGGUAGAGCAUGCAUGUUGGGACCCGAAAGAUGGUGAACUAUGCCUGAAUAGGGUGAAGCCAGAGGAAACUCUGGUGGAGGCUCGUAGCGAUUCUGACGUGCAAAUCGAUCGUCAAAUUUGGGUAUAGGGGCGAAAGACUAAUCGAACCAUCUUAUUUCUG
RNAcentral lists this ribosomal RNA (959 nucleotides) under Perenniporia fraxinea. RNAcentral describes it as "partial large subunit ribosomal RNA". It matches the Rfam family "Eukaryotic large subunit ribosomal RNA", at positions 1 to 953 of the family's 3401-position model. Lineage: Eukaryota; Fungi; Basidiomycota; Agaricomycetes; Polyporales; Polyporaceae. The record is from RNAcentral.